RNAcentral lists this ribosomal RNA (497 nucleotides) under uncultured bacterium. Its description in RNAcentral is "partial 16S ribosomal RNA". It matches the Rfam family "Bacterial small subunit ribosomal RNA", at positions 28 to 507 of the family's 1533-position model. The record is from RNAcentral.
GAUGAACGCUGGCGGCGUGCCUAAUACAUGCAAGUCGAGCGAACGAACGAGAAGCUUGCUUCUCUGAUGUUAGCGGCGGACGGGUGAGUAACACGUGGAUAACCUACCUAUAAGACUGGGAUAACUUCGGGAAACCGGAGCUAAUACCGGAUAAUAUUUUGAACCGCAUGGUUCAAAAGUGAAAGACGGUCUUGCUGUCACUUAUAGAUGGAUCCGCGCUGCAUUAGCUAGUUGGUAAGGUAACGGCUUACCAAGGCAACGAUGCAUAGCCGACCUGAGAGGGUGAUCGGCCACACUGGAACUGAGACACGGUCCAGACUCCUACGGGAGGCAGCAGUAGGGAAUCUUCCGCAAUGGGCGAAAGCCUGACGGAGCAACGCCGCGUGAGUGAUGAAGGUCUUCGGAUCGUAAAACUCUGUUAUUAGUGAAGAACAUAUGUGUAAGUAACUGUGCACAUCUUGACGGUACCUAAUCAGAAAGCCACGGCUAACUACGUG